RNAcentral lists this transfer RNA (71 nucleotides) under Thraustochytrium aureum. RNAcentral describes it as "tRNA-Cys". It matches the Rfam family "tRNA". Rfam says of the family: Transfer RNA (tRNA) molecules are approximately 80 nucleotides in length. Their secondary structure includes four short double-helical elements and three loops (D, anti-codon, and T loops). The record is from RNAcentral. Lineage: Eukaryota; Bigyra; Thraustochytrida; Thraustochytriidae.
GGCUAAGUAACAUAAUGAUAAUGUAGAAGAUUGCAAAUCUUUUUAAAUGGGUUUGAUUCCCAUCUUAGCUU